This 261-nucleotide ribosomal RNA is filed under the name uncultured bacterium. Its description in RNAcentral is "partial 16S ribosomal RNA". It matches the Rfam family "Bacterial small subunit ribosomal RNA", at positions 1240 to 1500 of the family's 1533-position model. The record is from RNAcentral.
CAACGAGUCGCAAGACCGCGAGGUUUAGCAAAUCUCUUAAAGCCGUUCUCAGUUCGGAUUGUAGGCUGCAACUCGCCUACAUGAAGUCGGAAUCGCUAGUAAUCGCGGAUCAGCAUGCCGCGGUGAAUACGUUCCCGGGCCUUGUACACACCGCCCGUCACACCAUGAGAGUUUGUAACACCCAAAGCCGGUGGGGUAACCUUUUGGAGCCAGCCGUCUAAGGUGGGACAGAUGAUUGGGGUGAAGUCGUAACAAGGUAGC